UUAGAGACAGCAGUCGCCGCGGUAAUACGUAGGUGGCGAGCGUUGUCCGGAAUUAUUGGGCGUAAAGGGAGCGCAGGCGGACAUAUAAGUCCAUCUUAAAAGUGCGGGGCUCAACCCCGUGAGGGGAUGGAAACUGUAUGCCUUGAGUGCAGGAGAGGAAAGCGGAAUUCCCAGUGUAGCGGUGAAAUGCGUAGAUAUUGGGAGGAACACCAGUGGCGAAGGCGGCUUUCUGGACUGUAACUGACGCUGAGGCUCGAAAGCCAGGGGAGCGAACGGGAUUAGAUACCCCUGUAGUCCCUGUCUCUUAUACA
Molecule: ribosomal RNA, 311 nt
Filed under: uncultured bacterium
Lineage: Bacteria
Description: partial 16S ribosomal RNA
Rfam family: Bacterial small subunit ribosomal RNA
Source: RNAcentral